AACUGAAGAGUUUGAUCAUGGCUCAGAUUGAACGCUGGCGGCAGGCUUAACACAUGCAAGUCGAGCGGGGGAAGGUAGCUUGCUACUGGACCUAGCGGCGGACGGGUGAGUAAUGCUUAGGAAUCUGCCUAUUAGUGGGGGACAACAUCUCGAAAGGGAUGCUAAUACCGCAUACGUCCUACGGGAGAAAGCAGGGGAUCUUCGGACCUUGCGCUAAUAGAUGAGCCUAAGUCGGAUUAGCUAGUUGGUGGGGUAAAGGCCUACCAAGGCGACGAUCUGUAGCGGGUCUGAGAGGAUGAUCCGCCACACUGGGACUGAGACACGGCCCAGACUCCUACGGGAGGCAGCAGUGGGGAAUAUUGGACAAUGGGGGGAACCCUGAUCCAGCCAUGCCGCGUGUGUGAAGAAGGCCUUAUGGUUGUAAAGCACUUUAAGCGAGGAGGAGGCUACUUUAGUUAAUACCUAGAGAUAGUGGACGUUACUCGCAGAAUAAGCACCGGCUAACUCUGUGCCAGCAGCCGCGGUAAUACAGAGGGUGCGAGCGUUAAUCGGAUUUACUGGGCGUAAAGCGUGCGUAGGCGGCUUAUUAAGUCGGAUGUGAAAUCCCCGAGCUUAACUUGGGAAUUGCAUUCGAUACUGGUGAGCUAGAGUAUGGGAGAGGAUGGUAGAAUUCCAGGUGUAGCGGUGAAAUGCGUAGAGAUCUGGAGGAAUACCGAUGGCGAAGGCAGCCAUCUGGCCUAAUACUGACGCUGAGGUACGAAAGCAUGGGGAGCAAACAGGAUUAGAUACCCUGGUAGUCCAUGCCGUAAACGAUGUCUACUAGCCGUUGGGGCCUUUGAGGCUUUAGUGGCGCAGCUAACGCGAUAAGUAGACCGCCUGGGGAGUACGGUCGCAAGACUAAAACUCAAAUGAAUUGACGGGGGCCCGCACAAGCGGUGGAGCAUGUGGUUUAAUUCGAUGCAACGCGAAGAACCUUACCUGGCCUUGACAUACUAGAAACUUUCCAGAGAUGGAUUGGUGCCUUCGGGAAUCUAGAUACAGGUGCUGCAUGGCUGUCGUCAGCUCGUGUCGUGAGAUGUUGGGUUAAGUCCCGCAACGAGCGCAACCCUUUUCCUUACUUGCCAGCAUUUCGGAUGGGAACUUUAAGGAUACUGCCAGUGACAAACUGGAGGAAGGCGGGGACGACGUCAAGUCAUCAUGGCCCUUACGGCCAGGGCUACACACGUGCUACAAUGGUCGGUACAAAGGGUUGCUACACAGCGAUGUGAUGCUAAUCUCAAAAAGCCGAUCGUAGUCCGGAUUGGAGUCUGCAACUCGACUCCAUGAAGUCGGAAUCGCU
This 1339-nucleotide ribosomal RNA is filed under the name Acinetobacter baumannii. RNAcentral's name for it is "bacterial SSU rRNA". It matches the Rfam family "Bacterial small subunit ribosomal RNA", at positions 1 to 1336 of the family's 1533-position model. The record is from RNAcentral. Lineage: Bacteria; Pseudomonadati; Pseudomonadota; Gammaproteobacteria; Moraxellales; Moraxellaceae.